GCGGGGGUGCCCGAGCCUGGUUAAAGGGGGCGGACUCAAGAUCCGCUGGCGUAGGCCUGCGUGGGUUCAAAUCCCACCCCCCGCA
Molecule: transfer RNA, 85 nt
Filed under: Desulfurococcaceae archaeon
Lineage: Archaea; Thermoproteati; Thermoproteota; Thermoprotei; Desulfurococcales; Desulfurococcaceae
Description: tRNA-Leu
Rfam family: tRNA
About the family: Transfer RNA (tRNA) molecules are approximately 80 nucleotides in length.
Source: RNAcentral